AGUGAACGCUGGCGGUAGGCCUAACACAUGCAAGUCGAACGGCAGCACAGUAAGAGCUUGCUCUUACGGGUGGCGAGUGGCGGACGGGUGAGGAAUACAUCGGAAUCUACUUUUUCGUGGGGGAUAACGUAGGGAAACUUACGCUAAUACCGCAUACGACCUACGGGUGAAAGCAGGGGAUCUUCGGACCUUGCUCGAUUGAAUGAGCCGAUGUCGGAUUAGCUAGUUGGCGGGGUAAAGGCCCACCAAGGCGGCGAUCCGUAGCUGGUCUGAGAGGAUGAUCAGCCACACUGGAACUGAGAAACGGUCCAGACUCCUACGGGAGGCAGCAGUGGGGAAUAUUGGACAAUGGGCGCAAGCCUGAUCCAGCCAUACCGCGUGGGUGAAGAAGGCCUUCGGGUUGUAAAGCCCUUUUGUUGGGAAAGAAAAGCAGCAGGUUAAUACCCCGCUGUUCUGACGGUACCCAAAGAAUAAGCACCGGCUAACUUCGUG
RNAcentral lists this ribosomal RNA (492 nucleotides) under uncultured bacterium. RNAcentral's name for it is "partial 16S ribosomal RNA". It matches the Rfam family "Bacterial small subunit ribosomal RNA", at positions 29 to 507 of the family's 1533-position model. The record is from RNAcentral.